This 497-nucleotide ribosomal RNA is filed under the name uncultured bacterium. Its description in RNAcentral is "partial 16S ribosomal RNA". It matches the Rfam family "Bacterial small subunit ribosomal RNA", at positions 28 to 507 of the family's 1533-position model. The record is from RNAcentral.
GACGAACGCUGGCGGCGUGCCUAAUACAUGCAAGUAGAACGCUGAAGAGAGGAGCUUACUCUUCUUGGAUGAGUCGCGAACGGGUGAGUAACGCGUAGGUAACCUGCCUUGUAGCGGGGGAUAACUAUUGGAAACGAUAGCUAAUACCGCAUAACAACGGAUGACACAGGUCAUUUAUUUGAAAGGGGCAAUUGCUCCACUACAAGAUGGACCUGCGUUGUAUUAGUUAGUAGGUGAGGUAAUGGCUCACCUAGGCGACGAUACAUAGCCGACCUGAGAGGGUGAGCGGCCACACUGGGACUGUGACACGGCCCAGACUCCUACGGGAGGCAGCAGUAGGGAAUCUUCGGCAAUGGGGGCAACCCUGACCGAGCAACGCCGCGUGAGUGAAGAAGGUUUUCGGAUCGUAAAGCUCUGUUGUCAGUCAGGAACGGGUGUGAGAGUGAAAAGUUCACACUGUGACGGUAGCUGACCAGAAAGGAACGGCUAACUACGUG